ACUUGACUUGUACUUGUUACUCUUCAAAGUGAGGAGCAUCCGCUUGCGCCAGGAAGGGUCAAACCAACUAUUGAGGCGCAUGUCGUUGCUGAUAAAAAUGGCAUGGACUUCGAUUCGUCUGUCCGUUUUCUGCAACAGGUACUUCAUCUCCAGAUCUUGCAGAUGUGUCUGAUUGCUGUUUCUUAAGAAUAAACACUUGGAAGUUCUGAUUGGAUUGGCAAGUGGCGAAAUCCCUCAGCUAAACCCCCGACCCUGAAUUAUUCUAACUCUUACACAUGGAUCACCAAGAAAGCUAACAUAUAAGAAGGACAGUUAUGGAGCAUUUGGACAACUCUUCCCAACUGUCAUGCAAGCAAGCCAUCCCAGAAGGCUUCCUAUGCCCACAGCCUGGGUAAAAGCUUGGCUGCAGCCUCACAGAGAUUAAAUGAAGAUGAUUUUAUGCCUGAGAUUUGAAUACAUACUUCUUCACUGAGACCUCAUGUUUGGAUACAUCUGUCAGCAGUGCAGUGGCAAGGAAAAUACACAAUGGAGUAAAUUCGAGACUUACUUCCAUAACUUACUAACUGAACAACUACUAAAAUAUCACUUAAUAUUUUAAUCUUCACUUUCCUGUGAAGUUGAAUAAUAAAUCCUGAUUUAUACAUCUCAGAGAGUUCAUGUGAGGAUAGAGUAAGAUAUCAUUUAUUAAAAAUAUGAAUGAAAGUAUGAAAUACAAGAACAAGAGCCAUGUAGAAAGGAAUAUCAAAAUAUAAAGAGAUUUUUCUCAGAAGAAAAUAUAGGACAAACUCAAGUAUGUAAUUGGUAAAGAUUUCUUAGGAUUUGAAUACAUUACCUACAGAAGAAAAAGAUUUAUAACUUAAGACUUCAACAGAAUUAAAAAGAUCUCUUCAAAAUACAUCAUUAAGGAAAUGAAAUAGCAAGUCAUCCUCUAGAACACAAAAUUUAUAAUUCUUUUGUCUGAGAAAAUACUUAAAUGGAAAUAUGCAAAGAAAUACUACACCUAAUAAUAAGAAAACAGCUCAAUAAAACUGCACAAAGUGUUUGAGCCAACAUUUUACAGAACAUCAUAAAUAGAAGGUCAAGAAGCGCUUCAAGUAAUAUUUUAACAUAAUCAGCUAUAGUAAAAGGAAAUUUCAGUGCCAUUCUAUUCAAAAAUUGGAAAAUGUAAGAAUUUAGAUGUGGCUGGAUCUAAAACAGUGCUAUUUUAAAACUUUUUUUACAUAUUUAACAUUGGAAAAAUGAUAGGGGUUUGUUCUAUUUUUUUUCUUACUAAUUCUAUGUUAAUAUAUAUGUGUUGAUCUUUGUUUUAACAGAAGUUGCCAUGUGACAAAAGUGGUGAGUGACCUUGAAUGUUUAAUUUGAGUGCAAUUUUGUUUGUAUUUUAAUAGAACCGAAGGCAAAGCCUUUCAAAAAUAGUUUUAUACUUAGGAAAAUGUUAAUUCUAAAUGCAAAAUUUUAAAAUAUGGGACUAAAGUACUUUUAAGACAAUUUAAUCUAAAUGUCAAAAACUUCACUUUAUGUUUCAUGAAUGAAUUCUAUAAAGAAAAAAUGACCUUUCUGGACUAAGGAACCUGAGAUUAAAGACCCUGGAAUAAGCCUGAAUAAUUGUUAUCACAAAAAAGUUUUCUCAUAAACCAGGAGUAAAUUUUAUUUUUGCUUUUCAAGACUUUAGAAUUUUUUCUUGAAUAGUCUGUGUCAUGUGAGUAAAGAAAAAUAAAGGAAAGAGGUUUGCUAACCCCUUUCCUAUUUAACCCAUUUCACAUUUGCCCACAAAACACUCACGGGUGGCAUUUGCUACUACAGCAUUUACUCCAGGAUAGCUUGCUAUUUUCAGGAACGAAUUUACUCCCUGCAUUUGGUAUGAAAUAUCCCACUGUCAUUAUUACUAUUUUCCCAUUGUUUUCCUAUAUCCAUAGUCUUUGGAAACAAAAUAUAUCAUUCUGUUUGUAGCAUGCUAUUUUUUUUGUAGCAGUAUUUCCAUUUACAAAGUAUUGUAAUUUUAGAUUGUUGAAAAUGUCACAUCCUAGAAAUCACAAUAUUUGCACUGCUACAUUUCGAUCAGAGACAAAUUCUAUUUAGAAAUAAGAUAAUUGAAAACCAGUCAGAUUUGCUUCAACCUCAGUCUGUGUUUAUGUAAAGUUACAUGAAGGCUGGCAGGGAGAUGCCCUUUUUUUUUCUAAAUGGGAGAAAAAUAAAACUGAUUUACAAGAAA
Heterocephalus glaber (naked mole-rat) is the source of this 2212-nucleotide long non-coding RNA. RefSeq lists it as uncharacterized. The record is from RefSeq and is a predicted model, not a curated record. Lineage: Eukaryota; Metazoa; Chordata; Mammalia; Rodentia; Bathyergidae.